GAACCUUCAAGGGUGGACACAGAUAAAGAUGAUUGGACCCAGAGAGAGAGAAACAAGACCAGACUAGGAGAGAUUUGAGCUAGCAACAGUGCAUGCAGAGACAAUGAUACUUUAUUGAUUCAAGGAAUGCUCGGCACCCUGAAGGUCAAGAACAAUUGAGAUGAGGAUUUCUUAAUGUUUGGGUGUUUCCAUCUCUGUGGACUCUCUCAGUCCUGUCUGUUUGGGUGGGGGGCGGCACAGGGCAAUGUAGGGGUCCGAUAAAACAUCUCUUCAACUUUAGGAACAUCUUCAAGGGGGAGGACAAAUUCUCUGAAGGGUAAUACACGAGAGGAAUGGAAAAGUGUUUUGUUACCCUGCAGAGAACUGACACCAUGCUCCUCCUGUUUUUAGCUUUGGUAAAUUGUGCUGUAAAUCAAUACUAAGCUGUUGGUGAUCAGAGGAAGAAGGAUAAAGUCCCUUUGAGGAUGCUACUGUUUUUUAUGGAUUCCCCUCUUUUCUCCACUUACUUGUAAAAAUAGAUUAAACUCAUCAUUUCAAAUGGGUCCUCUCUCUUUAAUGCUAAGUUAUCGAGUUUAUUCAGUUGUGGCUGUUUAUUUGAAGCUUGCAAAUUUCACUCUAAAUGUGCAUUUAAUUAAGAACUCAAAGAAUGCUAAUUAAAACCCGCUUGAGUCAGAGGCUGAACUGGUUCCACAGUAGGUUCCAACCACAAACCUUUUCUCUUUCCAUUUCUUUUUUAGACAAAUCCCCUUUCUAGCUGCAGUAUGUGUUCAGUUGUGUUUCCUGCCAAAACCUCAUCAGGAAUGUCUGACUCCUUUAUCAGCCCUUUGUUUGUUUCGGCGCUGGAGGAUGCGGCACCCUAAUCCACAUCGCGAUGACUCAGCCCAGCUGGAUUACGGCAUUACCGUUUUACUCAGCCUUCCCUCUGUGACAAUACCGCCCACAUCACAAAGCGAAACCAGGCAAAUGGUGACAACAAGAGAAUGGGUUUAACAACGGGCCACGACACCCGCUGAACUCAGCCCACUGAACGCUGUGAGCAGCAGUUGUUUUUCUCCCACCUGCUCCUGGAUUCUCAGCAGCUCAGCUGGAACCUUCACGGUGGCUGCUGAAGGAGCCUGACUUUACCUUUUCCACCUGGUUUCGCGUCAUGGAAUUGAAAUACAUUGCUAAAUGUAAAAAAGUUGACUGUGUUGUGUCGAUAAAAUGCUUGAAAAGUUUGAAAAGCAAUUAAAUUUGAAUUAAUUAGCAGACAUUCAUUUUUAUUUUUAAAUGAUGUACUAAAAAUACAGUAUUUUAGACAGAUAUUAGUAAUGGUGUAUCUGUCUUUUUCACAAUUAACAGGUAGAAAUUAAAGAACUCCGUCUCAAAGUCCACCGUGAGCCUCUUGCAUGCUUAAAGCCCAUUAACACCCACUACCCUGAAGCACCUGGUACUGCGGUUAUCUUGCCACAUUAAGACUAAGCAUGUUUUAAAAAAGGCUGCUACAUCAUGAAUUACACGACAAGCUUGCUUUGACGAGAGACUAUAGAGAAAUUAAUUUUCCUGAGACACAACAUAAAGAGUGCAGAGGGUAAGCUUAAGGCUUAGUCAUUAUUUUAAUGGAAAACAAUUGUAAGUCCAUUUAAAUGUGCAGGCUGCUGUUAUAACCACGUUCUAUUUAUUAUAGUUCAGCUGUUUACUUUAAUAAAAGUGCCUACAUACUGUA
This is a long non-coding RNA of Betta splendens (Siamese fighting fish), 1705 nucleotides long. RefSeq lists it as uncharacterized. Lineage: Eukaryota; Metazoa; Chordata; Actinopteri; Anabantiformes; Osphronemidae. The transcript is spliced from 3 exons. The record is from RefSeq and is a predicted model, not a curated record.